ACUUAAAUAGUUUAAAUAAAACUUUGAUUUGUGGUGUCGAGGAUAUGGAUGAAAAUUCAUUUUAGGUC
RNAcentral lists this transfer RNA (68 nucleotides) under Strophopteryx fasciata. Its description in RNAcentral is "tRNA-His". RNAcentral also lists the same sequence under 2 other names. Lineage: Eukaryota; Metazoa; Arthropoda; Insecta; Plecoptera; Taeniopterygidae. The record is from RNAcentral.